ACUCCUACGGGAGGCAGCAGUGGGGAAUAUUGCACAAUGGGCGCAAGCCUGAUGCAGCCAUGCCGCGUGUAUGAAGAAGGCCUUCGGGUUGUAAAGUACUUUCAGCGGGGAGGAAGGCGAUAAGGUUAAUAACCUUGUUGAUUGACGUUACCCGCAGAAGAAGCACCGGCUAACUCCGUGCCAGCAGCCGCGGUAAUACGGAGGGUGCAAGCGUUAAUCGGAAUUACUGGGCGUAAAGCGCACGCAGGCGGUCUGUCAAGUCGGAUGUGAAAUCCCCGGGCUCAACCUGGGAACUGCAUUCGAAACUGGCAGGCUAGAGUCUUGUAGAGGGGGGUAGAAUUCCAGGUGUAGCGGUGAAAUGCGUAGAGAUCUGGAGGAAUACCGGUGGCGAAGGCGGCCCCCUGGACAAAGACUGACGCUCAGGUGCGAAAGCGUGGGGAGCAAACAGGAUUAGAAACCCCAGUAGUCCCAU
RNAcentral lists this ribosomal RNA (472 nucleotides) under uncultured organism. Its description in RNAcentral is "partial 16S ribosomal RNA". It matches the Rfam family "Bacterial small subunit ribosomal RNA", at positions 335 to 798 of the family's 1533-position model. The record is from RNAcentral.